UGUACCAUGCUGGUAGCCAGUG
RNAcentral lists this microRNA (22 nucleotides) under Lepisosteus oculatus (spotted gar). RNAcentral's name for it is "Loc-Mir-7147_5p (mature (guide))". RNAcentral also lists the same sequence under 10 other names. The record is from RNAcentral. Lineage: Eukaryota; Metazoa; Chordata; Actinopteri; Semionotiformes; Lepisosteidae.